Strigops habroptila (Kakapo) is the source of this 428-nucleotide long non-coding RNA. RefSeq lists it as uncharacterized. The transcript has 2 exons. Lineage: Eukaryota; Metazoa; Chordata; Aves; Psittaciformes; Psittacidae. The record is from RefSeq and is a predicted model, not a curated record.
CUGCUGGAAUACCUUCCAUCCUCUCCCUACGUACCAGAAACUUGAUCAUCUGACAACAUGCAAGGCUGGGUGACUGCUCGAGGCAGACCGGUGUGCUGGGAUAGCCCGGGGGACACGCUCUCUCUUGUGCUCUAGCACAGGAAGAGCUGUGGGAAACCUGAAGAAAUCUGGGAUUAGAGCUUGGAGGAAAACUUCCUUCCCAGCAGAAAAAGGGCGCUUUUGUCAAGAGACCCUGAUGUGUGAAACAUCUGUGCAGUGCUAAAAAAAGGGGGGAAAAGCGUAUGGAAGCAAGAACUCCAGAACUGUUUCCCUCCACUCCUCCUUUCCCUCUGCCUAUUAACCAGCAAAAUGGGAAUCUAUAGAACUGUGAGCAUAUGGGGUGAAAAAUAAUAAAAAGGUGAAUAAAGUGAAAUGAUUUUCUGGCUGGG